This 438-nucleotide ribosomal RNA is filed under the name uncultured bacterium. Its description in RNAcentral is "partial 16S ribosomal RNA". It matches the Rfam family "Bacterial small subunit ribosomal RNA", at positions 339 to 795 of the family's 1533-position model. The record is from RNAcentral.
CUACGGGGGCUCCAGUGAGGAAUAUUGCACAAUGGGGGGAACCCUGAUGCAGCAACGCCGCGUGGAGGAUGACGCAUUUCGGUGUGUAAACUCCUUUUAUAUGUCAAGAAAAUGACGGUAGCAUAUGAAUAAGCACCGGCUAACUCCGUGCCAGCAGCCGCGGUAAUACGGAGGGUGCAAGCGUUACUCGGAAUCACUGGGCGUAAAGGACGCGUAGGCGGGUUGGAAAGUCAGGUGUGAAAUCCUACAGCUUAACUGUAGAACUGCACCUGAAACUUCUAAUCUAGAGUAUGGGAGGGGGAGAUGGAAUUAGUGGUGUAGGGGUAAAAUGCGUAGAGAUCACUAGGAAUACCUAAAGCGAAGGCGAUCUCCUGGAACAUUACUGACGCUAAGGCGUGAAAGCGUGGGGAGCAAACAGGAUUAGAUACCCUAGUAGUC